GGCCCCGUAGCUCAGUUGGAUAGAGCAGCGGUUUCCUAAACCGCGUGCCGUCGGUUCAAUUCCGGCCGGGGCCACCA
RNAcentral lists this transfer RNA (77 nucleotides) under Nitrospirota bacterium. Its description in RNAcentral is "Nitrospirae bacterium tRNA-Arg". It matches the Rfam family "tRNA". Rfam says of the family: Transfer RNA (tRNA) molecules are approximately 80 nucleotides in length. Their secondary structure includes four short double-helical elements and three loops (D, anti-codon, and T loops). RNAcentral also lists the same sequence under 1 other name. The record is from RNAcentral. Lineage: Bacteria; Pseudomonadati; Nitrospirota.